CAGCAGCAGCUCCAGAAGUAGGUCCUUCAGCAGCUCCAUCAGUUUCAGCAGUAUCAGCAGCAAAUCCUCCAGCAUGUGUAGCAACAACAGCAGUAUCAUCCACCUUAAUCGAGUUCUUUUUCUGCCUCUUCCUCAGAUCUCUCAGUAGUGCCACACAUUUUCGCACUGGUACAGCUUUUAUCUGAUCUGAGCUCCAGAGACUGGAGAGUGUAGAGAGCUCCAUGCUCAGGUUUAAUGGC
RNAcentral lists this long non-coding RNA (239 nucleotides) under Elaeis guineensis (African oil palm). RNAcentral's name for it is "long non-coding RNA (EGUI_LNC057564)". Lineage: Eukaryota; Viridiplantae; Streptophyta; Magnoliopsida; Arecales; Arecaceae. The record is from RNAcentral.